GUGAGGAAUUUUCCGCAAUGGGCGAAAGCCUGACGGAGCAAUGCCGCGUGAAGGAUGAAGGCCUAUGGGUUGUAAACUUCUUUUCUCAGAAAAGAAUUAUGACGGUAUCUGAGGAAUAAGCAUCGGCUAACUCUGUGCCAGCAGCCGCGGUAAGACAGAGGAUGCAAGCGUUAUCCGGAAUGAUUGGGCGUAAAGCGUCUGUAGGUUGUUUAAAAAGUAUUCUGUCAAAGAUUAGGGCUUAACCCUAGAUAGGCAGAAUAAACUUUUAAGCUAGAGUUUGGUAGAGGCAGAGGGAAUUCCCGGUGGAGCGGUGAAAUGCGUGGAUAUCGGGAGGAACACCAAAGGCGAAGGCACUCUGCUGGGCCAAUACUAACACUGAGAGACGAAAGCGAGGGGAGCAAAUGGGAUUAGAUACCCUGGUAGUCC
Molecule: ribosomal RNA, 426 nt
Filed under: uncultured bacterium
Lineage: Bacteria
Description: partial 16S ribosomal RNA
Rfam family: Bacterial small subunit ribosomal RNA
Source: RNAcentral